CUGGCGGCGUGCCUAACACAUGCAAGUCGAACGAGAAAGUGGAGCAAUCCAUGAGUAAAGUGGCGACCGGGUGAGUAACACGUGACUAACCUACCUCCGAGUGGGGAAUAACUCCGGGAAACCGGGGCUAAUACCGCAUAACAUCGCAAGAUCAAAGCAGCAAUGCGCUUGGAGAGGGGGUCGCGGCUGAUUAGCUCGUUGGCGGGGUAACGGCCCACCAAGGCGAAGAUCGGUAUCCGGCCUGAGAGGGCGCACGGACACACUGGAACUGAAACACGGUCCAGACUCCUACGGGAGGCAGCAGUGGGGAAUUUUGCGCAAUGGGGGAAACCCUGACGCAGCAACGCCGCGUGGAGGAUGAAGCCCUUUGGGGCGUAAACUCCUUUCGACUCGGACGAUAAUGACGGUACGAGUGGAAGAAGCACCGGCUAACUCUGUGCCAGCAGCCGCGGUAAUACAGAGGGUGCGAGCGUUGUUCGGAAUUAUUGGGCGUAAAGGGCGCGUANGCGGUGCGGUAAGUCACCUGUGAAAUCUCCUGGCUUAACUGGGAGCCUGCAGGCGAAACUACCGUGCUGGAGUGUGGGAAAGGUGCGUGGAAUUCCCGGUGUAGCGGUGAAAUGCG
This 622-nucleotide ribosomal RNA is filed under the name uncultured bacterium. RNAcentral's name for it is "bacterial SSU rRNA". It matches the Rfam family "Bacterial small subunit ribosomal RNA", at positions 36 to 690 of the family's 1533-position model. The record is from RNAcentral.